UACGGGGGGGGCAAGCGUUGUUCGGAAUUACUGGGCGUAAAGGGCGCGUAGGCUGUUUGCUAAGUUGGAUGUGAAAACUCUGGGCUUAACCCAGAGCCUGCAUCCAAAACUGGCAGGCUGGAGUUUUGGAGGGGGAAGCGGAAUUCCUGGUGUAGCAGUGAAAUGCGUAGAUAUCAGGAGGAACACCGGUGGCGAAGGCGGCUUCCUGGACAAAAACUGACGCUGAGGCGCGAAAGCUAGGGGAGCAAACAGG
Molecule: ribosomal RNA, 253 nt
Filed under: uncultured bacterium
Lineage: Bacteria
Description: partial 16S ribosomal RNA
Rfam family: Bacterial small subunit ribosomal RNA
Source: RNAcentral